UCGGACUUCGACUUUGAACUGGAGCCGGACGACUGGACCACGGCCACUACAGCUGGGAGUUCUGCUCCUUCCUGGACGUCUCUACCCCCUCGGACUCCGUGGAUGGUCCCGAGUCGACUCGGCCAGGGGCUGGCCCUGACUACCGCCUCAUGAAUGGUGGCACGCCCAUCCCCAAUGGGCCACGAGUGGAGACCCCAGACUCCUCCAGUGAGGAGGCCUUCGGUGCUGGCCCCACGGUGAAGAGCCAGCUGCCCCAGCGGACCCCAGGGACACGGGAGAGGGUGCGGUUCAGUGACAAAGUGCUCUACCAUGCUCUGUGCUGUGACGAUGAGGAGGGGGACGGUGAGCAGGAGGCGGAGGAGGAAGAAGUGGGCUUGCCCCCUGAGCCUGCCCAUACAGAGGCCCAUGCAGGCCCCCACAAGCCCUCCCCAGCCCCCUACAAGUCACGGCGCUCUCCACUGACCAGCCGCCACUCAGGCUCUACCUUGGCCCCUGAACAGACUCGAAGGGUCACGAGGAACAGCAGCACCCAGACAGUGUCAGACAAGAGCACGCAGACGGUUCUGCCCUACACAGCCACUAGACAGAAAGCCAGGGG
This 598-nucleotide small RNA is filed under the name Pan troglodytes (chimpanzee). RNAcentral describes it as "processed transcript". Lineage: Eukaryota; Metazoa; Chordata; Mammalia; Primates; Hominidae. The record is from RNAcentral.